CCUUUAUCAUGUAAACACAAUGCUCCUACCCAGAAUUCAAUGGUUCAAACAGACAAAAGAUAACCCACCAAAAAAAAAAACAGUUUGCUAUUUAAACUUAGAAUGCAGGGAAGCCACAAAAUGUACAAAAUGUAACAUCUAAAAACAAUUACAAUAUAUUCAGUUUAGUUCUAGUUAGAUGCAACAGGAGAGAGACAAUACAGCACAUGGGCUAUUAAAAAUGGC
Non-coding RNA from Pelobates cultripes (western spadefoot toad), 225 nucleotides. The record is from the annotation of a GenBank genome assembly. NCBI's taxonomy places the organism in Eukaryota, Metazoa, Chordata, Amphibia, Anura, Pelobatidae.